UACAGAGGUCUCAAGCGUUGUUCGGAUUCAUUGGGCGUAAAGGGUGCGUAGGCGGCGCGGUAAGUCGGGUGUGAAAUCUCAGAGCUUAACUCCGAAACUGCAUUCGAUACUGCCGUGCUUGAGGACUGGAGAGGAGACUGGAAUUUACGGUGUAGCGGUGAAAUGCGUAGAUAUCGUAAGGAAGACCAGUGGCGAAGGCGGGUCUCUGGACAGUUCCUGACGCUGAGGCACGAAGGUCAGGGGAGCAAACGGG
Molecule: ribosomal RNA, 253 nt
Filed under: uncultured bacterium
Lineage: Bacteria
Description: partial 16S ribosomal RNA
Rfam family: Bacterial small subunit ribosomal RNA
Source: RNAcentral